AACGCACAUUGCACUCCUCUGGAGUAUGCCUGUUUGAGAAUCUAUAGUAUUUAUUCGUCUUGAUUCAUUCGUGAUUGAUAGAAGAGAUAUGAAGCUCCCAUCUUUUGACUGGGUUCUUUUAAAUAGAUUGCUACUAGUAAUAUGAAAAUGCUUGACAUUUCUCUGUAUCUAUUAGAAAAGUAUGUGUAUGAAACUGUGGUUUCUCAUAAUGCCUAUUACAUUAGAGGGGAUUUGGAGUUUUCAUAUGAACAGUUUAGUCCAUACCUAUAAAGGCGAAAGCCUUGAACCAUGGUCUCAAAUCAGGUAGGAAGACCCGCUGAACUUAA
RNAcentral lists this unclassified non-coding RNA (326 nucleotides) under uncultured fungus. Its description in RNAcentral is "sequence contains ITS2". Lineage: Eukaryota; Fungi. The record is from RNAcentral.